RNAcentral lists this ribosomal RNA (392 nucleotides) under uncultured bacterium. RNAcentral's name for it is "partial 16S ribosomal RNA". It matches the Rfam family "Bacterial small subunit ribosomal RNA", at positions 523 to 918 of the family's 1533-position model. The record is from RNAcentral.
AUACGGAGGAUGCGAGCGUUAUCCGGAUUUAUUGGGUUUAAAGGGAGCGUAGGCGGGAGCUUAAGUCAGCGGUUAAAUGGUGCGGCUCAACCGUGCCCUGCCGUUGAAACUGGGUUUCUUGAGAGUGCAAGAGGCGGAUGGAAUUCAUGGUGUAGCGGGUAAAUGCUUAGAUAUCAUGAAGAACUCCGAUUGCGAAGGCAGUCCGCUGGGGCACGUCUGACGCUGAUGCUCGAAGGUGCGGGAAUCAAACAGGAUUAGAUACCCUGGUAGUCCGCACGGUAAACGAUGAUUACCCGCUGUCGGCGGCAGACAGUCGGCGGCCAAGCGAAAGCGAUAAGUAAUCCACCUGGGGAGUACGCCGGCAACGGUGAAACUUAAAGGAAUUGACGGGG